Molecule: ribosomal RNA, 492 nt
Filed under: uncultured bacterium
Lineage: Bacteria
Description: partial 16S ribosomal RNA
Rfam family: Bacterial small subunit ribosomal RNA
Source: RNAcentral
AGUGAACGCUGGCGGUAGGCCUAACACAUGCAAGUCGAACGGCAGCACAGUAAGAGCUUGCCCUUACGGGUGGCGGGUGGCGGACGGGUGAGGAAUACAUCGGAAUCUACUUUUUCGUGGGGGACAACGUAGGGCAACUUAUGCUACUACCGCAUACGACCUACGGGUGAAAUCAGGAGAGCUUCGCACCUUGCGCGAUUGAAUGAGACGAUGCCGCAUUAGCUAGUUGGCGGGGUAACGGCACACCAAGGCAACGAUACGUAGCUGACCUGAGAGGAUGAUCGGCCACACUGGAACUGAGACACGGUCCAGACUCCUACGGGAGGCAGCAGUAGGGAAUAUUGCGCAAUGGGCGAAAGCCUGACCGAGCCACGCCGCGUGAGUGAUGAAGGUCUUCGGAUUGUAAAACUCUUUUGUUGGGGAAGAACAGCAGCGUAAUUAUACGUGGCUAUCCUGACGGUACCUAAAGAGAAAGCACCGGCUAACUUCGUG